RNAcentral lists this ribosomal RNA (432 nucleotides) under uncultured bacterium. RNAcentral's name for it is "partial 16S ribosomal RNA". It matches the Rfam family "Bacterial small subunit ribosomal RNA", at positions 29 to 507 of the family's 1533-position model. The record is from RNAcentral.
ACGAACGCUGGCGGCAGGCCUAACCCAUGCAAGUCGAGCGGACCCUUCGGGGUUAGCGGCGGACGGGUGAGUAACGCGUGGGAAUAUGCCCUUCUCUACGGAAUAGUCCUGGGAAACUGGGGGUAAUACCGUAUACGCCCUUUGGGGGAAAGAUUUAUCGGGGAAGGAUUAGCCCGCGUUGGAUUAGGUAGUUGGUGGGGUAAUGGCCUACCAAGCCGACGAUCCAUAGCUGGUUUGAGAGGAUGAUCAGCCACACUGGGACUGAGACACGGCCCAGACUCCUACGGGAGGCAGCAGUGGGGAAUCUUAGACAAUGGGGGCAACCCUGAUCUAGCCAUGCCGCGUGAGUGAUGAAGGCCUUAGGGUUGUAAAGCUCUUUCAGCUGGGAAGAUAAUGACGGUACCAGCAGAAGAAGCCCCGGCUAACUCCGUG